CGGGCGACCAGGCGGGAGGCUGCCGGAAAUCAGCCCGGCGCGCCCUCUCCUUUACGACCCUCGUUCCAUCACCACAGGCCGUGGCCCCAAAGCAGCGGCAACCAUGGGCCAGCGCAGUCAGGGAGCCGAAUGUUAUGGAACCUGGACUGGAUCCUGGAGGAAGAACCAAAUGGCCCUCAGAGACCUUGGAGGAUCGGAGGUUUACUUAACACCGUCCUGCCCUGGGGUCCUAUUUUUCUCUGCUAGCUGAAUCUACUUACACAUCUGGCACACCCACGGUUUGUAAGAGCCAAACCCAGAGGGAAACACACCCUCGGCCUCUGAAUACAACUGUCAUUAAGGAUCCUGCCAUAUAACCCAGUGCAACCUCUCUUCCCACCCCGAAAUACAGACUCAACGAAUGUAGAAGCAUGGAAAAACCCAAGAAGUAUGACAGAUCUAAGGUAAUUUUACAGUGAUGGUGGAG
Molecule: long non-coding RNA, 466 nt
Organism: Lutra lutra (Eurasian river otter)
Lineage: Eukaryota; Metazoa; Chordata; Mammalia; Carnivora; Mustelidae
Exons: 3
Source: RefSeq, a predicted model, not a curated record